This 524-nucleotide ribosomal RNA is filed under the name uncultured bacterium. RNAcentral describes it as "bacterial SSU rRNA". It matches the Rfam family "Bacterial small subunit ribosomal RNA", at positions 355 to 896 of the family's 1533-position model. The record is from RNAcentral.
UGGGGAAUAUUGGACAAUGGACCGAAAGUCUGAUCCAGCAAUUCUGUGUGCACGAUGAAGUUUUUCGGAAUGUAAAGUGCUUUCAGUUGGGAAGAAAGAAAUGACGGUACCAACAGAAGAAGUGACGGCUAAAUACGUGCCAGCAGCCGCGGUAAUACGUAUGUCACGAGCGUUAUCCGGAUUUAUUGGGCGUAAAGCGCGUCUAGGUGGUUAUGUAAGUCUGAUGUGAAAAUGCAGGGCUCAACUCUGUAUUGCGUUGGAAACUGUAUAACUAGAGUACUGGAGAGGUAAGCGGAACUACAAGUGUAGAGGUGAAAUUCGUAGAUAUUUGUAGAAAUGCCGAUGGGGAAGCCAGCUUACUGGACAGAUACUGACGCUAAAGCGCGAAAGCGUGGGUAGCAAACAGGAUUAGAUACCCUGGUAGUCCACGCUGUAAACGAUGAUUACUAGGUGUUGGGGGUCGAACCUCAGCGCCCAAGCAAACGCGAUAAGUAAUCCGCCUGGGGAGUACGUACGCAAGUAUG